Molecule: unclassified non-coding RNA, 147 nt
Organism: Papio anubis (olive baboon)
Lineage: Eukaryota; Metazoa; Chordata; Mammalia; Primates; Cercopithecidae
Rfam family: Metazoan signal recognition particle RNA
About the family: The signal recognition particle (SRP) is a universally conserved ribonucleoprotein. It is involved in the co-translational targeting of proteins to membranes.
Source: Ensembl
GCCGGGCGUGGUGGCAGGCGCCUGUAAUCCCAGCUACUUAGGAGGCUGAGGCAGGAGAAUCGCUUGAACCCAGGAGGCAGAGGUUGCAGUGAGCCGAAUUUUGCCACUGUACUCCAGCCUGGGUGACAGAGCGAGACUCUGUCUUAA